GGAUCAUUUCACCGCGUCUCCACCGUUCAUCCUCCGUUUCUUUCCUUCAUCUUCAUCGUCAUCAUCGUCAUGGCCCCUAAAAAGAAGGAAGAGCCGAAACCCGUUGCUGCCCCCAAACCCCCGGAGCCCGAACCUCCCAAGGAGCCCGAGUUUAACCCGGCUGAAGUGCAGCUGGAGUUCACUCCUGAGCAGAUUGAGGAUUUCAAAGAUGCGUUCCAGCUUUUUGACCGAACGCCAAACAACGAGAUGAAGAUCACCUUCGCCCAGUGCGGAGACGUCAUCAGAGCCCUGGGCCAAAACCCCACCAACGCUGAGGUCAUGUACGUGCUCGGAAAGCCCAAAGCUGAAGAAAUGAAUGUGAAGAUGCUAGACUUCGACCAGUUCCUGCCCAUGCACCAGCACAUCUGCAAGGCCAAAGGUCGCGGCACAUUUGAGGACUUCGUUGAGGGACUGAGAGUCUUCGAUAAGGAAGGAAACGGCACGGUGAUGGGCGCUGAGCUCCGACACGUCCUCGCCACACUGGGUGAGAAGAUGAAGGAGGCCGAGGUGGAGCAGUUGAUGGCCGGUCAGGAAGACGCGAACGGCUGCAUCAACUACGAGGCAUUCAUAAAGUACAUCAUGGCUGGCUGAGCAGGUACAGCGCCACCUUCCCAUAAUGCACCUCUGCUUUAACUUCAGAACUCAAUUCAGGAUUGCUGGCCGAGGAUGCAAAUUUAUCUUCCUUUCCUUUCCUUUCUUUCUUUUCUUUUUUUUAUUAUAAAACUCUUCACACCAUCUCUCCUCAUCCUGUCUCCCUCUUUCUCUUCCUCUUCCUCUCCAUCGACUCUCAUCACUUCCUGUUCUGAAGAUGUUGUACGUCACAUCACUGUUCGUUUUGUGGAUCAAAGAAAAAUGAUUAAAAUAAAACUUUAUGCUUGAUUAA
RNA transcript from Ictalurus furcatus (blue catfish), 922 nucleotides. It is a transcript of the gene named myosin, light chain 13, with no coding region annotated. Lineage: Eukaryota; Metazoa; Chordata; Actinopteri; Siluriformes; Ictaluridae. The record is from RefSeq and is a predicted model, not a curated record. The transcript has 7 exons.